CUCCUGGCUGUGAACUUGGGAGUCUGAGUUUGGGCCCCAUUUCUUUUUGGCAAAGACACGACAGUUGGGUUAAUAGUUUCCACUUGAAGACAUCGCCUCUCCUCCUUCCAAGCUGGGAGCACAGGAGCCCACAGCGGGAGGGUGGGGCGGCUGGAACUCACAACCCACUGCCGCCGGGCUGGGCCGUCCACUGAGGCGCUGUCCUCCUGGAGAAGAGAAUGGAGACCCGGUGGGGACUGCCCGGUCUCAUCUUCCUGUAUUUUCUGCUGCACGUGCAAGGUCAGGGAGACUUUGACCUGGCCGAUGCCCUCGAUGACCCUGAACCCACCAAGAAGCCAAUCUCAG
Otolemur garnettii (small-eared galago) is the source of this 345-nucleotide long non-coding RNA. RefSeq lists it as uncharacterized. Lineage: Eukaryota; Metazoa; Chordata; Mammalia; Primates; Galagidae. The record is from RefSeq and is a predicted model, not a curated record. The transcript is spliced from 3 exons.